This 472-nucleotide ribosomal RNA is filed under the name uncultured bacterium. RNAcentral's name for it is "SSU rRNA". It matches the Rfam family "Bacterial small subunit ribosomal RNA", at positions 26 to 518 of the family's 1533-position model. The record is from RNAcentral.
AGAAUCAACGCUGGCGGCGUGCCUAACACAUGCAAGUCGAACGGGAAAGUGGAGCAAUCCAUGAGUAUAGUGGCGACCGGGUGAGUAACACGUGACUAACCUACCCUUGAGUGGGGGAUAACCUCGGGAAACCGGGGCUAAUACCGCAUAAAAUCUUCGGGAUGAGAAGCUGGAGAUCAAAGGAGCAAUUCGCUUUUGGAGGGGGUCGCGGCUGAUUAGCUAGUUGGCGGGGUAACGGCCCACCAAGGCUUUGAUCGGUAUCCGGCCUGAGAGGGCGCACGGACACACUGGAACUGAAACACGGUCCAGACUCCUACGGGAGGCAGCAGUGGGGAAUUUUGCGCAAUGGGGGAAACCCUGACGCAGCAACGCCGCGUGGAGGAUGAAGUCCCUUGGGACGUAAACUCCUUUCGACCGGGAAGAUGAUGACGGUACCGGUGGAAGAGCCCGGCUAACUCGCGCCAGCAGCCGC